CGAACGCCGCGUGUGCGAUGAAGUCCUUCGGGAUGUAAAGCACUGUCGGAGGGGAGGACAAAAAAGACGGUACCUUCCAAGAAAGCCCCGGCUAACUACGUGC
This 103-nucleotide ribosomal RNA is filed under the name uncultured bacterium. Its description in RNAcentral is "partial 16S ribosomal RNA". It matches the Rfam family "Bacterial small subunit ribosomal RNA", at positions 391 to 508 of the family's 1533-position model. The record is from RNAcentral.